Molecule: unclassified non-coding RNA, 29 nt
Filed under: Mus musculus (house mouse)
Lineage: Eukaryota; Metazoa; Chordata; Mammalia; Rodentia; Muridae
Description: oocyte_clustered_small_RNA5246
Source: RNAcentral
UUCAAUGGAGUGUCCACAUUGGUCAAGGC